UAUUCCCAACCCCUUCCUAUACUGUCUAUUGAUAUUCAUUCUCCUUUCCCAAAUUUUCCUUUUUCCACGCCGCCGCACAAUAGCACCCCCCAAUUUAUGGUUGUUUAUCCAACUUUAUGAAUGAUUCAUCUUCCUUCUCAACAUCCCAUUAAUAUGCGACGAUUGAGCACACAAAAAUUGCAUUCACGAGGAUUCACAGAAUUUUCAGAAUACAGGAAAAGAUUAUCAUCUUAUCUUCUUCUUUCUCUCCUGAGUUGUAGAAGACGACAACAAAAACAUUUUCAGAAUUUUUCUUCUUCAUCAUCUUCGAUUUUCAGAAAAGAGCACGAAUUGCACGAAAAGGAUGAUUUUGAGAAAUGGAAGUUAGACUAUGUAUUGAUGAUGAAGAAAAAAGAUUCCAAAAUUGAAGAGUUUGAGUGUUCAUGUUGAAGAAGAAAAGAUACAAAGUUAUAACCCAAGUCGUUGAAAUUUUCAUAACUGCAGGUAAAAUCUGUGCAAAACAUGUGUAUUCUAACAGGUAAAAUCUAUUUUCUGGUGUGCUUUUUGUGACUAUUAAUCAUUUUCAUGUGUUGUGCUUAAUGUGGUGAGUAAAUGUGCAAACUUGAGCUUUCUUAGUAGUUUUGAAACAAUUUUUGAUAUGUUUUCACCAUUCAAUUGUCAUGGUUAGGUUUGUAUUGGAGCUAAGAGUGAGGUACAAUCGAAAUUGGCAGCAAGAAAGGUAUACUGGAUUGGCAGGUUUAUACUGGUUUUGCGUAGAGCAUCAUUUGAUGUUAUGAAACACAAAAGAUUUGAGAUUUGUUAGGAAGAGAUGUUAGCAGUUGGGACUGAACUCUAGAUUUCGGUGUACCUACCCAAACCACUAGACUACUCCUUUUGUUAUAUGAUACUGCUUCUAACCACUUUUUGUAUUGUCAAUAGCGUGUGCUACUGUUGUAUCGUAUGUGAAGCUACAGGUGCGGAAUUGAAGCUUCAAUGGUUGGUGAUGUGGAAUUGACGAGUCGAGGUGAUGUCGGUGUUUGAGCUUAUGCAUCGAAAUCGGUGUUGAUGCAACUUGGAAUGAAAUGUGAAGUUGUGUUUGGUUUGAAAUUGAAAUGCAUUGUUUAGUGAAUUUGAAUUUGUGUUUUUAUUGUUAAAUUUGAAAUGCAUUGUUUAUGAGAAUUUUGUUUGGUCUGUAGGUUGAAUGGUCUGCAGAUUGUGUUUGGUUAGGGAGGAUAUAAUCAAUUAAUCUUGGUUGAUUGAAUAUUAUUAUUUUCUUUUGGUAAUUCUGGAUGGAAAUUUAUUAGGUGGUGAACAUUAUUCAAUUUCACUGUCUACUAUAUUGUUUCUUUUGCUUCAACAACUUAAUCAAUUUCAAUGUCUACUUUACUGACUAACGUUGUACCAUUUAAGUUUAGGAUGCUAACAUUAUUGAAACAACACAAGAAAGAUUCUAUGACAAUAACAUAGAUGAAUACUUCAAAGACAUUCAAACAAAUAUCUCGGAAACAUGGUCAGAUGAAGUAGAAGAUUGGGAAGCAUGCAAUUCUGAUCUGCAGGAAAUAUGAUUCAACUGAAGUUAAAGUACCAGACAUGAACAAUAAUUCACUGAAGACAAAACCUGAUGCAGUUCCUGAUACUUUGGUCAAGCUAAUGGAAUAUGGUGAUGACGAUGACGACGACGAUGAUCUAGACGGUUUAAAUGAGGAAAUUCUUCCCCGUAGGCCAGAAGGGUUCUUGGUUUUGGCUAUUGCUUCACUGGGAAAUGAUAUUACUGAGAUGAAAAGUCCCCCUGAGAGUAGGUACUAUGACAUGGUCUCCAGCACAAAAUUGGAAGGCAUUGAUCAUGCAACAUAUUUAAGCUUGGAAGAGUUAUGCACGAUUUUGGGGUAUUGCUUAAUGUUAAGCUUGGAAGUCCUACUAUAUACAUGGAAAUGGGAAAGGUAUGGAUGCUUUUUCUCGCGUGGCUUCUGAUUCCCAUAGUGAAGUUACUUGAGCCGGAUGCUCCAAAAAUUGGUUGGAUGCAAUUUUUCUACAGAAAAUUGAUGUCUGUUAGCAUGUGACCAAUUCAAGUGGCUUAUCACCUUGCCAGGUGAACAAUACACAUGGCUGGAGAGAGAUCUGACUUAUCACUUUAGAAGUGAAAAAUGUUAUUCAAGAAGGUUGAUUCUUCAGUUUCUGGGAAAUAACCAUGUAUUUUAUUAUGCUGCUCCUGCUUUGGUUGCUUCAAGUAUGGAUAUGAAUGAACCACAAGUCAUAUAGUUUGUCUGUUUUCUUUUCUAUUUGACAUAUAUAUCAUGUGAGUUUUGGAUUUCAUGGCAACUGGUAAAUCAUGUCUCAUGACUUUUGUCACCUACAUGAAAUUGGUAGAUUUGACAUUGCAAUCAUGCAUGCAAAAUAAUCGUAACCAGGUGUAUCACUUACAUCUCACUAUUUUUCAUUAGCACUUUUUAUCAAUACUUAAUAAAGGCUAUGAGUAUAUAUUUUAGGCA
Vicia villosa (hairy vetch) is the source of this 2468-nucleotide RNA transcript. RefSeq lists it as uncharacterized. The record is from RefSeq and is a predicted model, not a curated record. The transcript is spliced from 7 exons. NCBI's taxonomy places the organism in Eukaryota, Viridiplantae, Streptophyta, Magnoliopsida, Fabales, Fabaceae.